AGAGAGGAGCUAUCGAAGAGUGGCCAUGUGAUCGCGUGAUGAUGAAUCUCCUUAUUAAACGGUGUGCUUUGGUUCUCUUCCUCUUGUU
This 88-nucleotide microRNA precursor is filed under the name Heligmosomoides polygyrus. Its description in RNAcentral is "microRNA hpo-mir-10133 precursor". The record is from miRBase by way of RNAcentral. Lineage: Eukaryota; Metazoa; Nematoda; Chromadorea; Rhabditida; Heligmosomidae.